RNAcentral lists this ribosomal RNA (253 nucleotides) under uncultured bacterium. RNAcentral describes it as "partial 16S ribosomal RNA". It matches the Rfam family "Bacterial small subunit ribosomal RNA", at positions 524 to 776 of the family's 1533-position model. The record is from RNAcentral.
UACGAAGGGAGCUAGCGUUACUCGGAAUUACUGGGCGUAAAGCGCGCGCAGACGGCUUUUCAAGUCAGGGGUGAAAUCCUGGGGCUUAACCCUAGAAUUGCCUUUGAAACUGUUAAGCUAGAGUCCGGAAGAGGAUGGUGGAAUAUCCAGUGUAGAGGUGAAAUUCGUAGAUAUUGGAUGGAACACCAGUGGCGAAGGCGGCCAUCUGGUCCGGUACUGACGUUGAGGCGCGAAAGCGUGGGGAUCAAACAGG